This 1351-nucleotide long non-coding RNA is filed under the name Sus scrofa (pig). Its description in RNAcentral is "lncRNA (ENSSSCG00060019591.1)". Lineage: Eukaryota; Metazoa; Chordata; Mammalia; Artiodactyla; Suidae. The record is from RNAcentral.
UGGCGUUAAGUGAGCUCCUACAGAAAUCCGGGAUCUGGAGUUCCCAUCAUGGUUCAGUGGUUAACGAAUCUGACUAGGAACCAUGAGGUUGCGGGUUCGAUCCCUGGCCUUGCUCAGUGGGUUAAGGAUCUGGCGUUGCCGUGAGCUGUGGUGUAGGUCGCAGACGCGGCUCGGAUCCCACGUUGCUGUGGCUGUGGCGUAGGCCGGUGGCUACAGCUCUAAUUCGACCCCUAGCCUGGGACUCUCCAUAUGCCGCGAGAGUGGCCCAAGAAAAUGGCAAAAAGACAAAAAAAAAAAAAAAAAAAAAAAAAAAUCUGGGAUCUGCCUGGAAUCCGGACUUCGCAGCCUCAUGCCUGCAGAUGAAUUAAGCCCUGGAGGCCCCUCCCCUCCUUAGAGCCUUAAGUAAUUGCUGCACCCCGACCUCCCAGGGGUCCAGACAAGAAGCACAGGCGGUAAGGUGUCAGAGGUCAUGGUUAGGGGUAUGAUCCGCGGGCAGUGACAUUUGACUUUGAACAUUUAAAGUUCAAAGUCAAAGCAACAAGCAAUGAAAAGUCGUGUAUUUUGCCUUUUGAAAGAAAAUGUAAAAAGCCCACACCCAGCAAUCCAGUGAGGCGUCAUCUGACUCCACGCGGGCCAGAUGGUCUUUUUCGACACCUAUAGUUUCCCGGGAAAUUGUGGCAGCUGAAUUUGCAUGAUGUAGCUACAAAUGGAAUCUGCAAAAUGUGUGUGUUCAUGUGGUUUGGACGUGAGAAUAAUUCCUGUACCCGGUCAUGUCGGGAAGAGUCGAAAUAUUCACUUCCCGUCCCCCCGGGACCAGGCCAGCUCUCGGACCCUGACAGUUGACGGCAGCUUGGAGGCUUAAUGGAGGCCGCGUGACCCAUGGAACGCCCGCAGGCCAGCCACCCUGCGCUCAAGAAAUGGGAGCCGCUGUUAGCAGCAGGACUGCUCUUAGAAAAUGUGCUAAGUAAUGCAUGGAGUGUGGUGUUUCAGAGCCACGUAAUGAUGGUAAAAUACGCUGUAAAUCAAUAGAGGAGGUGGCCUGUGUUUUAACCCUUUGAAUCAGUUUCACUCGUUUCUGUGACUUCUACGAGAGAAAAUAAUGGAUUUAAAAAACAUAGUUGCAGUGUUUUGCUGAGCUGUGGGUUUAUUCAUUUGGUGUUUCAUCCAACGAGUUUUUUUUUUUUUUUUUUUUUUUUCUUCUUUUCUAGGGCCGCACCCGUGGCACAUGGAGGUUCCCAGGCUAGGGGUCGAAUCGGAGCUGUAGCCGCCGGCCUCCGCCAGAACCACAGCCACGCCAGAUCUGAGCUGUGUCUGCGAUCUACACCCCAGCUCACAGCAACGCCGGAUCCUU